Molecule: unclassified non-coding RNA, 345 nt
Filed under: Hevea brasiliensis (rubber tree)
Lineage: Eukaryota; Viridiplantae; Streptophyta; Magnoliopsida; Malpighiales; Euphorbiaceae
Source: RNAcentral
AUUAGCUUGAUUUCAUCCCUCAAUCCUCCAAUAAACCCAGAUAAAAAAAAUAGGCUUCACUCAAUUUAGGCAUAAAUCUUUCCAUUGUCACCUUAAGGUCUUACAACCUAUCUUGAUUGUCUCCCACACUUCCCUCUUGUCCUAGCCUCAUAAAUUCCUCAACCACAUCUUCAAAACCUUGCUCCCCAAACCUAUUGCAUAUUGCUACCUCAAACUCUUCCCAAGAUCCAUCAUUUUUGACUUAUUCCAAUUCUGGAACCAGGCAUCAGCUCUUCCCACCAUAUACAAACAUGUCAUACCCACCAUUUUAUCCUUUGGAACCCCCAAAACCUCAAAGUAUUUAAA